GCCUCGCAGCGGCGUACCGCCGCCAACCAUAGCUUAAGCGGAGGGAAGAUGUACGCCGCAGCUUCUCUCCCGACCUCUAUUGCCGAAUGGAUUUGGGGGAGCCUGCACAGGCAAUUUUUCAUGGAGCUGAGAUACAAUAGAGAUUGAGAUUUGGGGACUAUUCAUUAUAGGGAUUAGAGAUUGGAUUGUGAUCUUCUGGAAGUAUGUGGCAUGAGAGAGAUGAUGCUAGAUUCAAUAGAGCUCAUAUCCAUUGCCAAAUGAAGAUGUUCUUUUAAAAGGAUAUUCUUCGGCAUGAGCAUAUCGCUUCCGAUUAGCUUGCGGCGGCCUGCUGGGCUAAGAUUCUCGCUGGAUCCGCUGAAUAUCUUGCGGCAAGGAGGGCACGGGGUGGCGCGGCCGGACGGAGAAGCCGGCACAGUUGAGCUGCCGCGAAGUGAACCAAGGAGCCGUCGACCUGCAUGGAGCAGCACGGCGCAACAAACACAAAGGAGCGGAAGACGGAUUCAUUAGUGCCGCAAGUAGCAGCGCAGGUCUUGGAGGCUUCUACAAUAUCGUAUCUUAGAAGAUUUUCUGAUUCAUUAACUCAUAUGUUGGGUUGUCGUGCCUGAUUCCAGUAAGUUCUCUUAAGGUUAUCCUUCUGUAAAACAUUUGAUCUUCCAGUGACCAUUGAGUACUUUUAUCUAUCUCCAUCAUUUUUUGUGAAGUUUCUUCAAUGGAGUGGCUAUAAAUAAAUGUUAGUAAAUGAA
Triticum dicoccoides is the source of this 743-nucleotide long non-coding RNA. RefSeq lists it as uncharacterized. The transcript has 4 exons. The record is from RefSeq and is a predicted model, not a curated record. Lineage: Eukaryota; Viridiplantae; Streptophyta; Magnoliopsida; Poales; Poaceae.